Molecule: long non-coding RNA, 3010 nt
Filed under: Homo sapiens (human)
Lineage: Eukaryota; Metazoa; Chordata; Mammalia; Primates; Hominidae
Description: HSALNT0091666
Source: RNAcentral
AGAACACAGCCUUGUCAAUCUCCAUCCAGGUUUUUCUCACUAUCCUCUCCUGUAACUUUCUAGAAGAGCAAGUGUCAUAAUGAUGGAAACUAAAUUAGUCGCAUACACAAAGAAUCAUCUGUUCUUUCCGUUUAAGUUUCCUUUCUAAAAUGCCUUAUUAUACAAACAGCAAACUAUUUAAAGAGAGGUUUCCUGGAAUGAGUGUUACUGGUCUGGAAGGGCCUCUGAAGAGUCCAGGAAUAGGUCUGCUAACCAAAGGAAUGACCCCCUCACAGAGACCACCACUGACUGCCAUGUGAGCCGCCGUCCCUCCAGCUGCCCUCACUCCACCGGCUGCUCCCUCUCACAUCCCUCUCUGGAUUCCUUAUCACAAGCCACCCCAAUAAUGAUGCUGAAGACAGAGAACAAAGAGAAGUAGAUGAAAUGACUCACUGAAGAACACUUUUCUAAUUAGGUGCCAACUUAAGAAAACUGGGCUUAUGUCAAAGUCUGAACAUUUAUUCUUUGAGUUCUCCAAUCAAGGGAGCCUGGUCUAUAAGCAUGUAGUGCUUCACAUCAAAACAUACCUCUCCAAUAGCAAUGUCAUAAAAAUGCAGGUGUGUGACCUUUGGCAAACUACUUCAGCUCCCUUGCCUCACAGCGUAAUUCACAUGUAAAAUGGGGACUCCCCUCAGACCUCCUUCAUAAGGUUGCUGUAUGGAUUCUGUGAGUUAUUUCAUGAGUAGUCCUGAGAACAGAGCCUGGCAUAAAGGAAUAACCUAUCUACUAAUGAUCAGCACCUGUGUCUUUGUGUCUGAGGCCAAGAAUAAAUUCAUCAACUGGGUAGCCACUACAGCAGAAGAAGCCAACCACAGUCAAUGUUGACUACGCGUCAAGUUGCCAGAGGCCACAGGAAAUGGACUACCUUGGAGAAUCAUCCCUGCCAACAUUUCUGAAUGGCUAUGUCACUACCAAUGGGGCCACAACAACAACACUUGCAACCCAACCUGGACUUCCUUUGACCAAAGGAAGAAAUCUAUCUUUGCCCAUGUCAGACGAAAGGUGAACACCACCCUUGCCUUGUGUCAAAAGCUUUGGUAUCCUGCCCAAUAUGCCUGGAACAGUAUAUAUUGGGAAACUGCUGUGCUGGUGGCCAGAUUCCAUAUAGCCCCCCACUUUGUCUGGAGGCCUUAAAUGGCUCCUCUAAUGUUACUCUGGGGUUUCUCCUGCCAGACAACUGUCAACACAUACUCGAAAUCAACAACAUUGUCCCCAGUGAAACACAAUCUCUUUCCUGCUUUAAUAACACCUUAAUACACUAUAAUUACAAAAAAACCAUUGCUGUACCCUGGUGGGGGCCCUGUGGGUAUGCAGAUCCUACGAGUGGCAAUACCUGCCCCCACAUUGGAUGGGGAGAUGCACUUAGAGGUGGCCAUUAAUUCCAUUCACCAUCCAGGAUAAUAUUCCCCUCCCCAGUAAUCUGGACUCCCUGGUGGUGGUACCCUAUCACAGUAUUCUCCCCUGCCACCGGUACAAUCCUGCUUCAGCAAAAAAUUAAAAUAUUAAGCUUACAUGUAGAAGAAGCUCUUAAUGAUAGUAGCAUUGGACUUAUGUUGCUAUCAAAUGAAUUUGCUCAGCUGUGUACUGUUGUGUUACAAAAUCGAAUGGCAUUAGAUAUGCUUACCGCAGCCCAAGGAGGGGUUUGUGCCUGACUGCAUACUGAAUGUUAUGUGUAUAUCCCUGAUAAUUCUCACAAUAUCACUCUCCUUGAAAAGCCAUGGUGGGUGUGGUUUUUAUUAAUUGUGCUUUUAAUUCUCCUGUGCUUAUCCUGUAUCUGUAAUCUGUAUCAACUAUGCCUUCCCCAUGUAUCUGUAAGGGUAUUUUUCUACAAUUGAGUAUCAAAUUGAGGCUGAGUGUGGAGGAAAAGUUAAAUAUUAAAUUUGAACUCAAUUGAACAUGACACAAACGAUGGUCACCAAGUCCCAGAACAGGUUGUGUGAGCCCCUUGAGGCGCUCAUCCAGUGCUGAUUCGGAGAAAUCUCUAUUUCAGUCUAUUCCUAUAUGUUAGUUAUUUAAAAAAAUAGACAAUUGCAAAAACAAGUUGACCUUUUUGUGUUCCUUGAGCCCAGUCACAAAGGGUUCUCGUGACUGGAAAUCAUGCCAAACAACUCAUUACAAAAAGAGUUAGGGUUCCAGACUGCGCAAAAGCAUCGUGAGACCUCUCCUCGUCUGUGCAUGGAUGAGUGGCCGACUCUGGAGCCCAGGCUAUUGAUUCCUGGUCUGAUGGUGAAUCCUCCAUAGUCUGGUGAGUGUAAAUAUAUAUAUGUAUACACAUAUAUGUAUAUGUGUGUGUAUAUAUAUAUCUUUUCCCUUCUCCCCUUCCCAUUGCAAUUUGCUUUUGCUUAUAUCAUUUGCUUAUUAUAUCAUUUGCUUAUUAUAUCUAUAUUGCCAUAUACUUGGGAUAAAGGCUGUCUACCCUUAAAGGUGCUGUGUGUGUGUCUUUUCUUCUCCCCUCGCACGUUUCCAGCACAGAACAAAUGACCAGGUAAUAACCCAGAGGGUUUACUGUAAUUACUUAAGCAUUCCUCUAUUAUUGGAAAUGUGAGCAAUUUCCAAUUUUUCUAUUAAAAGUAAUGGAGUGAUAAACAAUUCUAAAUAUAUUUUUGGUUCAAUUCUUUGAUUACAACCUUGCAAUAGAUUGCUGGAAGUUCAUUCUACCUUUUUAAAAAGUUAAAAUAACACAUAUUAUGCACAGUAGCUAACCCAAAGAAGCUGAAGUCCCAUUAGACUGUGAAACUUUUCCGAGGUAGAUUCUAUUCCUCUAGAUAGUAAGGAAAAUAUCCGAAAUUUGUUCCCAGCCCUAUUCAUUGAUUUCUGCAUCCAUUCAAUAAAUAUCUGAGUAACUGCUAUCCAUCAGACAAAUAAACUGUUGGAAAGCCAUUUAACCACUUUGAGACCUUGUACUCUGAUCCAUAAUAAACACCAAAUGGUCUUCACAGCUGAAGACCAUUUCCUGAUCCUUGCAAUGAAG